CCUACGGGCGGCUGCAGUGGGGAAUAUUGGACAAUGGGCGAAAGCCUGAUCCAGCCAUGCCGCGUGUGUGAAGAAGGCCUUCGGGUUGUAAAGCACUUUCAGUGGGGAAGAAAGCCUUGGGGCUAAUACCCUCGAGGAAGGACAUCACCCACAGAAGAAGCACCGGCUAACUCCGUGCCAGCAGCCGCGGUAAUACGGAGGGUGCGAGCGUUAAUCGGAAUUACUGGGCGUAAAGCGCGCGUAGGCGGUCUGAUAAGCCGGUUGUGAAAGCCCCGGGCUCAACCUGGGAACGGCAUCCGGAACUGUCAGGCUAGAGUGCAGGAGAGGAAGGUAGAAUUCCCGGUGUAGCGGUGAAAUGCGUAGAGAUCGGGAGGAAUACCAGUGGCGAAGGCGGCCUUCUGGACUGACACUGACGCUGAGGUGCGAAAGCGUGGGUAGCAAACAGGAUUAGAUACCCCAGUAGU
This 464-nucleotide ribosomal RNA is filed under the name Vreelandella stevensii. RNAcentral's name for it is "partial 16S ribosomal RNA". It matches the Rfam family "Bacterial small subunit ribosomal RNA", at positions 338 to 794 of the family's 1533-position model. Lineage: Bacteria; Pseudomonadati; Pseudomonadota; Gammaproteobacteria; Oceanospirillales; Halomonadaceae. The record is from RNAcentral.